This 467-nucleotide ribosomal RNA is filed under the name uncultured bacterium. RNAcentral describes it as "bacterial SSU rRNA". It matches the Rfam family "Bacterial small subunit ribosomal RNA", at positions 335 to 801 of the family's 1533-position model. The record is from RNAcentral.
ACUCCUACGGGAGGCAGCAGUAGGGAAUAUUGGUCAAUGGGCGAGAGCCUGAACCAGCCAUGCCGCGUGCAGGAAGACGGCCUUCUGGGUUGUAAACUGCUUUUAUCAGGGAACAAAAGGCCAUGCGUGGCAAAUUGCGUGUACCUGAAGAAUAAGGACCGGCUAACUCCGUGCCAGCAGCCGCGGUAAUACGGAGGGUCCAAGCGUUGUCCGGAUUUAUUGGGUUUAAAGGGUGCGUAGGCGGCCCUAUAAGUCAGUGGUGAAAUCCUUCAGCUCAACUGGAGAACUGCCAUUGAUACUGUAGGGCUUGAGUACAGACGAGGUAGGCGGAAAUUUAUGGUGUAGCGGUGAAAUGCAUAGAUACCAUAAAGAACACCUAUUGCGAAGGCAGCUUACUAGACUGUAACUGACGCUGAGGCACGAAAGCGUGGGAGCGAACAGGAUUAGAUACCCUGGUAGGCUCUGCU